UCCGGAGCCAGGACGCGACGUGUACUGAGGGGGAGAGCGCCGUGGUGAGGGGCCCUGACGCCUACCUGGCUGCCUUCGCUUCCCUGGGCCCCCAAGAGUUGGCUCAGAUCGUCAGAGGGCGAGAUAACGAAAACGGCCCGGAGCAGCCGCGGAAGGUGGACUCCUGUUCCCUUCGACGCCGGGAUGACCACACAGCUGCGCGCGGGGUCCAGAAAAGCCAUUCCGCGCCCUCUCCGGGCGGUGCCGUCCUCAGCACGCAGGCACGCCCCGGUCCAGCGCCGCUGGGCACGGACGAGGGGGCCGCGGCCCUGGCCAGCCGCACCUGCCGCACCUGGGAGCUGGCCAGGGGGCGGGUCCGGGUACCACGAGGCUGGGGGCACUCCGACCUCCGACGUGCCGCCUGCAGCUGCCGCCCUCCCCCCACCCCGUCUUCCUGCCCCUCCAGCUCGGAGGACAGACCCUCGGAUAGACCAAGCUUACUUUCCGGCCCUCGCUUUCCGGGUGCUGUCCGAGAAACCCCCACGUCGCCAGGCUGGACGCCCACACUUCAACGCUGAGCCGACGAAAGCACACAAGCAGCAGCUGCCGGCCGUCAGACAGCGCCGUCCGCUUGUGCUCCGGCCCCCGGCGUCCCCGGUCAGUCAAGCCCAAGCCCUUGCGUUCCGCGUGUCGGGCAGCAGAGAGAAAGUCUUCCCCCGACAGUCCUCUCCCGCACGCCAAGGAGAGGCCCGAGAAGCGGCUCCCGAGGCGACCCGGAAGCGGAAGUCGAAGAAAGUUCUAGUGGCUUGAGCGGCGUGAGCGUCCGGUUGGCGUGAGAGGCGUUUUGUUAGUUUUUUCUUGCGUUUUUCUUUUUUUUCCGGUUAAUGUGGCUUUAAUUGGUUUUUUAUGUUUUUUUUUGGGGGGGGUUGU
RNAcentral lists this long non-coding RNA (909 nucleotides) under Oryctolagus cuniculus (rabbit). RNAcentral describes it as "lncRNA (ENSOCUG00000031959.1)". Lineage: Eukaryota; Metazoa; Chordata; Mammalia; Lagomorpha; Leporidae. The record is from RNAcentral.